This 198-nucleotide unclassified non-coding RNA is filed under the name Rhizophagus clarus. RNAcentral describes it as "internal transcribed spacer 2; transcript_id:RCL_c3122_1_ITS2". The record is from RNAcentral. Lineage: Eukaryota; Fungi; Glomeromycota; Glomeromycetes; Glomerales; Glomeraceae.
UAAUCAAAAUCGGAGCGAUGCCUUUUGGGUGAAGCACCGGAGUUUGGGUCAUCUUAACUCUUUAAGAGACCUAAAAUUAACAUUCUUUUUUUGCUCACUUUGAGACGUACAUAAUUUUUUUUAUUCGUCUACCCUGGUGGCAAAAAUUUUAUUAGAUCGUGAAUCACGUAGAGUGGACUCGCGUCUAUAAUUAUCAUG